GGAGUAUUGACGCUUGGCUGUGAACUGGUGUGGAGACGCUAACAGUGCAUUGCAAUGAGGCAGCAAAGAGAAAAGAUUAAACCCAUAGAUGAAGCUGAUGUGCCCAUGGCAUCGUCCUCCCUCAAAGAUGAUGAGCAGUGCAUUACAAUGAGACAAGCAAGACACAAGUUUAAACCCAAAGAUGAAGCUGAUGCGCCCGGGGCAUCGUCCUCCCUCAAAGAUGAUGAGCAGGGCACACUGAUCUUCCUCAUGUUGAUACGCCCAUGGCAUCGUCCUCCCUCAAAGAUGAUGAGCAGGGCACACUGAUCUUCCUCAUGUUGAUAUGCCCAUGGCAUCGUCUUCCCUCAAAGAUGAUGAGCAGGGCACACUGAUCUUCCUCAUGUUGAUACGGCCAUGGCAUCGUCCUCCCUCAAAGAUGAUGAGCAGGGCACACUGAUCUUCCUCAUGUUGAUACGCCCAUGGCAUCGUCCUCCCUCAAAGAUGAUGAGCAGGGCACACUGAUCUUCCUCAUGUUGAUACGCCCAUGGCAUCGUCUUCCCUCAAAGAUGAUGAGCAGGUGACUAAUUUUCUGCUGUUGUUAUUAUUACAACAAUAACACAACAUAGUUGUUUGGAUGUUGAUAGUGAGGUUGGUAGACACAGUUCUUACAGUGCUGGUUAACGUAAGAUACAUACAUUGUGAGGACUGCGUGUGUUUUGGAUAUGCAAGUCUAUUGAAAGAUGGGCUCUUCUUAAAAUGAACAAUUACAAAAUGCUGAAAAAAUGUGCCUUUUGUAAUGUUCACUUUUCUGCUUUGAAAUUGAUUUGCAUAAAUUGUAAAGGUGAGGAUUUUUGUUCAGUCAUUUUAGAUGAUUGUCUGUCAAGAUAUAACAAGUGGAAAUUUUUACCCGUAAUACUUAAUAUUUUAUGUUUUCAUCAAAAGAGAGAGAGGUUCCUCAUGAGUCUUGUUUUGUUGAGUAUGCCAUUAGAGUAGACUGUCCUACAUCGUCUUCGGUACAGGUUGUUUUGACUUUCAGAGGAAUGCAGACAAAUGUUUGCCUUCCAUCACUGGAUCUUGAAUGCAUCCUCAAAGCAUCUUGGGUAUCUUUAGAGCUUUAGUUAAUGCUGGUUGCAUGAUGUCUGAUCACCCAGAACUUGUGAUAAUGCUAGCUCUGAACUGGGUUACUGUCACAGUACAAAAUCGCAUGAGAAUAAGAGUGGGGGAAAUGACAAAUAAUUUCUUGACAAGCUAAGUAAAAGAAUCAGAGGACAAAGCGGAAAUGGAUUCUUUAUGAUUGAAAGUGGAAAAAAGAAAAACAUUAAGUAUGAUAUGUUGAAACUGGAUGGAAACAAAUGUCAGUUACUGUUUUUCUAUAGUUGUGUGGUUUAGAACCUAAAUGACAUAGUUGUUUUGUAUUUCGGUGUCCUGUGGCUUUCACAUAGAAGUUUUAUCUUUAAUAAUUUCCUCUGAGUUGUUGUUUUUUUUUUUUUUUUUUUAAAUGAGCUUGAUGUGCUGAUCAGAAUGUAGCUUUUAAGAGAUUGUCUUCAUCUAACAUGGCAAAAAGAUGAAGCCCAGUGUAAACCUAAAGCCCCACAUAUAUAUGUUUGUAAAAGUCAUUUAGUUUGCAGUAGGGCUGGGCCAUAUCAUACCGUUCACAGUAAUACCGGUAUAAUUUUGGGCAACGAUAAGAAAAUGAAAUAUCGCAAUAGAAUAUGGGUAAAAUGCACAUGCGCAGUGCCUUUGUUUUCAU
This is a long non-coding RNA of Oreochromis aureus, 1729 nucleotides long. RefSeq lists it as uncharacterized. The record is from RefSeq and is a predicted model, not a curated record. The transcript is spliced from 8 exons. NCBI's taxonomy places the organism in Eukaryota, Metazoa, Chordata, Actinopteri, Cichliformes, Cichlidae.